CACGUAGGGGGCAAGCGUUGUCCGGAUUUAUUGGGCGUAAAGAGCUCGUAGGUGGUUCCGUAAGUCAGGUGUGAAACCUCCAGGCUCAACCUGGAGACGCCACUUGAUACUGCGGUGACUGGAGUCCGGUAGGGGAGCGUGGAAUUCCUGGUGUAGCGGUGAAAUGCGCAGAUAUCAGGAAGAACACCAAUGGCGAAGGCAGCUCUCUGGGACGGUACUGACGCUGAGACGCGAAAGCGUGGGGAGCGAACAGG
Molecule: ribosomal RNA, 254 nt
Filed under: uncultured bacterium
Lineage: Bacteria
Description: partial 16S ribosomal RNA
Rfam family: Bacterial small subunit ribosomal RNA
Source: RNAcentral